AUAAAAGGCAGACUGCAUAAAGAAAAUUGAGGUAUAAAAUGUACAGCACCUUGUGUUGUUUUCUGUGUCUGUUUAUAAGUGCGGUGCAGUGCAAAACCAAACUUGAGAAAAGGAAAAUAAAUCAUGCUCAUAUGUGAGCUUCCAGAAGGAACACAUUUCCUUGGUAAUCUAAUAGAAGCUGCAAGCAAUUCAAAUGAAACAACCCACUAUUAAUCAAC
Pelobates cultripes (western spadefoot toad) is the source of this 218-nucleotide non-coding RNA. The record is from the annotation of a GenBank genome assembly. NCBI's taxonomy places the organism in Eukaryota, Metazoa, Chordata, Amphibia, Anura, Pelobatidae.